Molecule: long non-coding RNA, 3992 nt
Organism: Anolis carolinensis (green anole)
Lineage: Eukaryota; Metazoa; Chordata; Lepidosauria; Squamata; Anolidae
Exons: 3
Source: RefSeq, a predicted model, not a curated record
CCAGUUCAACCACAACAGAAGAGACGGGAACAGACGGUCCUAUCAGUCAUCAUGACUCCUGAUGCAUAUGGCUGCGUAUUUUUCCCUUCUCUAAAGUAGAACACGGGAUGUGACUAAAUAAUCAGGCCAUUACCCCGAGGGAUAUAAAUCCCUUAAGCCAAAUGCUAAAAACACCAUUUGCCAGUCUCCGUGCAGAAGUAAAAGCAGGGAAUUACAGCACGGCAUCACAGGGAGGAGAUGUAAACCAAAAUGAAUUGCAGGCAGAUGGAUUGCAGGAGAAGAAAAUAUUGCUCUGCCUGGGCCCUCAAUGCAGAUCCAUCUCUAAAUUGGCUCAUUUUUCUCCCCAGAACUCCAUGUACGGUGUAAGAUCCAAGUGAUAACUUGAAAAAGAAAGAGGAAGAAAAAAGAGCAAUCGAGAGCGAGAGAAUCAAAAUGGACAGAAGACGAGUAGGUCUUCAGAAGAGGAGGAGGAGCAGGACAGUGUUCAUGAAUCUGAGGUGACUGAAGGAGUAGCCCAUUGUUUCUUUGAGUGGAAAGUAAGAAGGUUGCAUCCUUGGGGAAGUGUCUAUGUGAAGAGCAAAGAAAUGCAGCGACGUAUUGGCACCCCCGACAGUGGAGUCAGCGCACUGCUAUCUGAAAAGACAUUUGAGAGCACGAGAAUGAUUUUGCAUUUGAGCUGACCUUCAAUUUCCAUCUCAAGCAUGACAAAAAAAAAUAGUGUGGGUUUCCUUUUGUGUUGGUUAUUCUCUUCUUCUUUUCUCUUUGCAAGUUGUGUUCCUCUCUUUUAUUUAUCCCUUUUGGAAAACCUCCUCUGAAUAUCGAGUGCCUCCAUCAGUUGGCCUCUUUCUUAAUCCGUCAACUUUCUGCAUGACCUCUCCGACUGUCUGGAGGAGCAAUCUGUUCCUGUUCCAGGCUGUUUCCUACCUCGCUGAUAGCCUGCUUACUCUCCUUCAGGGCUGCCAAGGACCAAGGUCUCUCCGUGUGACACAUGGCUACUGUGUCAGUCACAGAGUCACAGACUGAAACCAAUACCUAUGGCCCUGCUGCUCCUAGUCCUUUAAAAGACCUCUGGGCUGUAACAUUCGGUCUCUCCCACAGUUGCCAUUGCACGAUGGGGCAUCCGUUGAGCCAGAGCAAGUGGCUGGGAAGAAAUAAGAGGACAAUGUGGUGCAGGAGAGCCCAGAAAAGCUAUGAGGGAAUUUAUGUCAGGGUAUUGUGUAUUGUGAAAUGUUAAAAUCAAUCUGGGUUAUUAGAAAUGCCUUAUGUGUUAGUUUUUCGGCAAGGCAUUUCAGCAGUUAUGGAGUUCAUGAGAGUCUACUAUGAUUGAUGUAUCACAGGACCAAUGGGGUCAAGUUUGUUUUGACCGGGACUUUCUUUCUUGUUCCUGUGGAAUGCAGAGGAGUUUCCUGAGCAGAAGAGCAGUGUGCUGUGUGUGCAUGAGUCGCUUCGGCGAGCACUCAUGGAGAGAAGGACUGAUUUGCUCUGUUUGUAUAUAGAAAUGUAAAUAAAAGUUUAUUGCCGUUGGAUUUCCAACCGAACCCUCAUCUGCUGGAGUGUGUUUGUCCAGUGCUGUUUUUCACACCGGGAGACAGUCUGGAGAGAAGGAGGUGAAGACCGGGAUGGUGAAUUUUUGGAUUUCACUCUGCUACACAUCAUCUCCCCUGACAAUUUAUUUAUUUAUUUAUUUAUUACAAUACUUAUAUCCCGCCCUUCUCACCCACAGGGGACUCAGGGCGGCUUACAAUAAAACACAAUAUAAAAAUAUUACAGACAAUUCAAUCAAUUAAAAUCAAAGACAUUAAAUUUAAUUUAAUGGGGCUGGGCUGUGGCGCAGGCUGUUGAGCAGCUGCAAUAAAUCACUCUGACCAUGAGGUCAUGAGUUCGAGGCCAGCCUGUGACGGGGUGAGCACCCGUCAAUUAAAAAUAAAAAAUAGCCCCUGCUCGUUGCUGACCUAGCAACCCGAAAGAUAGUUGCAUCUAUCAAGUAGGAAAUAAGGUACCACUUAUAAAAAAUGUGUGGAGGCAAGUUUAACUAAUUUACGACCUGGAAUGAGGAAGUGCCGUCAGAGUGGAUGAUGACGCAGCUGCUCCCCCCUGUGGCCAGAAUCGAACAUCCCCUCAGGAGAAGGUUAAAUUGCCUCUGCGUCUGUCUCUGUCUCGGUCUCUGUUUGAUGUGUUUAUGGGCAUUGAAUGUUUUCCCUAUGUGUGUAUAAUGUGAUCCGCCCUGAGUCCCCUUCGGGGUGAAAAGGGCAGAAUAUAAAUACUGUAAAUAAAUAAAUUAAACAUUGAUAAAAAUACACAUAUAAAUACACAAUUGGUGCAUUUCGAGUCUGAUAACUGGUCUGUCAUUGAAUUCUAGGAUGGUAAUAAUUGAUGCUGCUGUUGUUGAUCGAAGGCCUGGUCCCACAACCAGAACAGAAUAAAUUCUCAACCCCUUACAAGUGUUAACCAGAAUUCAGAAAGCAUGAAAUAGUAAAACAAAAAGAUAUUUCAUAUAAAUCAACAGUGGAUUAUAUGUUCUCAAUAGACAUAAACAUAAGAACUGCAACAAUGACUGCUAUAAUGGGUUUUAAAUGGGUUUUAAAAAGUAGAGAAUGUGAUUCAGAUCACCGAAAUAUCGUAUUAUUUGACCACCCUAGGUUUUGUCCCUCUUUGUACCUCUAGCACAGGCAUGGACUGUUGUGGCUCAGCCUUUGCCUUUGCGUGAUUUUUUUAAAAGAUAAUUUUUUAUUCAGCUUUUUCAAAUCAACAAUGACAUAGACAUGGACGUAUAAUAAAGUAAAAUGCAAAAUUGAGAGCAGGGUUGAAAAAGAAAGAGAUAGAGAGAGGGGAAAGGGAAGAAGUAAAGGGGGGGGGAAGCAAAAACAAAAAAUACAAACAGACCAAGAAAAGCCAAAAGAAAUAACACUAAAAUUGACUUCCAUCUAUUGCAUGGUGACGUUAUGAUUUUUUUGUCUUUAUAGCAAUUCAGAUUUGUUCUGGUAGCUUUUUUUUUCAUGUCAGGAGCAACUGGAGUUGCUUCUGGAGUGAGAGAAUUGGCUGUCUGCAAGGAUGUUGCCCAGGGGACAUUGCCCAGAUAUUUGGAUGUUUUUAUCAUCCUUGUGGGAGGCUUCUCUCAUGUCCCCACAUGGAGCUGGAGCUGAUAGAGGGAGCUCAUCCGAACUCUCCCCGGGUGGGAUUCGAACCUGGCAGCCUUCAGGUCAGCAACCCAGCCUUCAAGUCACAAGGCUUUUAUCCCCUAGGCCACUAGAGGCUCCCCUUUCUGGUAGCUCAGUCCACUCCUAUUCUCCUAUUGUAAGGCUCGGUUUUUAGUUUUGCAUACUUGGAUCUCAUAUGAUAAUUCUCAUUUUUUUCCUCUCUUGAGUAAUUAAUGCCUUUGUGUAAUUCUGAUGUGCCUUUGCAUGACUCUGAUGAAGAUUGUGGGUUAUAUGUGCAUAAUGAUGGGAUUCAGGAUGAAUUUGAGGAUGACUCUGAUGCUGGGAAUUAUAGGAGUUGUGGGAAAUCAAGAGCAGGGAGUUGUUCCCAUGGAAAUAAAUCAUGAUGUUGUUUCUAACGAAGAAUUUCAGGUGCAGGGAGUAGAAAGGGAGGAUAACGCUUUGCCGCCCGAUAAUGAUCUCAGUGGCCUUGACUCUGGGGAUCUCGAUCGGGCUACGAGACUGGAAUUUAGAGGGUUGUGGAGAAGUCUUUGCAUAGGUAAUAAACGAGAGUUCAAAGAGAAACUGAACACCUUUAUGUCAUGCUUUUUAAACAGUCUGUUCGCAGAGAGCUCUCUGUCAAUGCAACUCCAUCGCUUGAUCUAGAAGCAAGUCUGCUUUCCUGUAAUAUCUCGUGGAUAUAUUCUGUUUGCUGGGACCUUUGGCUUCCAUGAAAAGGACCUUGUUCUAUGGACUUAUUGCUUACAGCCUUAGUUUUGUACCUAUCUUUUGGAACUGAACUUUUCCCCUUUUAUGAACUAUCCUUUGCCUAUUUUCUAAAUAAACUACAAAAGACUA